Pelobates cultripes (western spadefoot toad) is the source of this 224-nucleotide non-coding RNA. NCBI's taxonomy places the organism in Eukaryota, Metazoa, Chordata, Amphibia, Anura, Pelobatidae. The record is from the annotation of a GenBank genome assembly.
AUUUAUUUUAAAAGAUGGUAGACAUCUCAUGCAGACACAGCACAUUGCAGUUCUGGACCGGAAAGAGACUUUAAGGGGUUAACUGAGAGGCCAGUGAGACAUCCAGAAAGGGGUGUUAGUGAGGAUCUGCAGCAGACAAGAUGAUUAAGAGUUCUAAACCGGAGAGCCCCAGGCAGGGAAUGUGAGGAGAUGAAGGCACUGAACAGGCCUCAGCAGGAGCCAAG